RNAcentral lists this ribosomal RNA (253 nucleotides) under uncultured archaeon. Its description in RNAcentral is "partial 16S ribosomal RNA". It matches the Rfam family "Archaeal small subunit ribosomal RNA", at positions 474 to 727 of the family's 1478-position model. The record is from RNAcentral.
AACCAGCACCUCAAGUGGUCAGGAUGAUUAUUGGGCCUAAAGCAUCCGUAGCCGGUUCUAUAAGUUUCCGGUUAAAUCCGUAUGCUCAACGUAUGGGCCGCCGGGAAUACUGUAGACCUAGGGAGUGGGAGAGGUAGACGGUACUCGGUAGGAAGGGGUAAAAUCCUUUGAUCUAUCGAUGACCACCUGUGGCGAAGGCGGUCUACCAGAACACGUCCGACGGUGAGGGAUGAAAGCUGGGGGAGCAAACCGG